UACGUAGGUCCCGAGCGUUGUCCGGAUUUAUUGGGCGUAAAGCGAGCGCAGGUGGUUUAUUAAGUCUGGUGUAAAGGGCAGUGGCUCAACCAUUGUAUGCAUUGGAAACUGGUAGACUUGAGUGCAGGAGAGGAGAGUGGAAUUCCAUGUGUAGCGGUGAAAUGCGUAGAUAUAUGGAGGAACACCGGUGGCGAAAGCGGCUCUCUGGUCUGUAACUGACGCUGAGGUUCGAAAGCGUGGGUAGCAAACAGG
Molecule: ribosomal RNA, 252 nt
Filed under: uncultured bacterium
Lineage: Bacteria
Description: partial 16S ribosomal RNA
Rfam family: Bacterial small subunit ribosomal RNA
Source: RNAcentral